Molecule: ribosomal RNA, 299 nt
Filed under: uncultured soil bacterium
Lineage: Bacteria
Description: partial 16S ribosomal RNA
Rfam family: Bacterial small subunit ribosomal RNA
Source: RNAcentral
AGAACGAACGCUGGCGGCAUGCCUAAUACAUGCAAGUCGAACGAACUCUUCGGAGUUAGUGGCGCACGGGUGCGUAACGCGUGGGAAUCUGCCCCUUGGUUCGGAAUAACAGUUGGAAACGACUGCUAAUACCGGAUGAUGACGAAAGUCCAAAGAUUUAUCGCCAAGGGAUGAGCCCGCGUAGGAUUAGCUAGUUGGUGAGGUAAAGGCUCACCAAGGCAACGAUCCUUAGCUGGUCUGAGAGGAUGAUCAGCCACACUGGGACUGAGUCACGGCCCAGACCUCCGUACGGGAGGCAG